This 439-nucleotide long non-coding RNA is filed under the name Androctonus crassicauda. The record is from RNAcentral. Lineage: Eukaryota; Metazoa; Arthropoda; Arachnida; Scorpiones; Buthidae.
CUGAUACUAAUCAGGGAGUACAGGUAUUUAUAUUUAAAAUUCCAGUAGUUAUAUUUAAUGAGCAUACCUACGUUCCCUUUUCAUUAAAGUAGCUUUCAUUUCUAUUAUUCCGUUUUACUGAUAGGAACAAAUAGGAGGUCUGUGUGAGCAGACACUCAGAGCCCAGUCCUUAGGCCUUUGCCUUCUUUCUCAUGAGUUUGCCGUUUUCACUUCCCGUGGGUUCUUGUACCUUGAGUGGGAGGAGUCUUAGCGUGACACAGGGCGGUCCGUGGUGGGAUGCGAUGUGAUUACUGAUUACUACCAAGCGCAGUGGCCAGCAGAUGGCCGAGAAUAGUCACUGCUCCGAGGAAGCUGGGAAAGGUCUAACAUCGACAUCAUCGUCAGUCACACAACUUCUAAUUCUCUGUACUUCUAGUCCUGACAAUGUAUUAAACACCCC